This is a non-coding RNA of Cucurbita pepo subsp. pepo (vegetable marrow), 679 nucleotides long. NCBI's taxonomy places the organism in Eukaryota, Viridiplantae, Streptophyta, Magnoliopsida, Cucurbitales, Cucurbitaceae. The record is from RefSeq and is a predicted model, not a curated record.
CUAGUCUUGGAACAGUACUAUCCAAAAAAGAGUGGAUUAUCAAUCUCAACGUUUAAAAGUUUCAAUCAAAGGGAAAUGAGAGAAAUUCAAAGACUUAUCUAGAAACACACAAUCAAAGGAUGAACACAAAUUUGGGAGAGUAGAGGGACUUACCCCAUAAACAAUUUCUUUGUCGAAGUCAGACUCAAAGAUGAAUUGGACGACGAAGAAGGGGCUAUGAUGGAGCCAAGGACGUGGCGGGUUACAUUGAUUGUUGGGUUCACUGCAUUUCUUCCCCUAGCAAUCAAGUCAAUUUCGGCAAUUCAUUUGAAACAUCCCCACAAAUUGGGUCACUUAGCUCGUGGCCGCUUCUGACCGGACCCACCGAUGGUAUUGUCGAGGGCCUCGCUAUUCAAUGCUCUCAGAAAAGUGCUUGAUCUCAUCUUGGUGGGUCCAAAGCACGAAGAAUUUAGAAGGGUUUCGGACCCGAUUCUGUCAAAAUCAAGGAUGGAUCUCUUCCAACUGCCUCAUGUUGAACACAAGGGUAAUGGGAUUGAUCUUCAGUCUCAGGUACAGUAAUAUGUUUAUGAGCUUUUCUACAUAAAAGUGGCAAUUCAAGCAUUGUUUUUAUGCAUUUUGGUCAAGAAAAUGCUCCCAUUAAGGUUUAUACACUCUAGACAGAGUCUUGUUGCUGCCUGUU